Molecule: ribosomal RNA, 547 nt
Filed under: Staphylococcus aureus
Lineage: Bacteria; Bacillati; Bacillota; Bacilli; Caryophanales; Staphylococcaceae
Description: partial 23S ribosomal RNA
Rfam family: Bacterial large subunit ribosomal RNA
Source: RNAcentral
CGAGACCUACAAGUCGAGCAGGGUCGAAAGACGGACUUAGUGAUCCGGUGGUUCCGCAUGGAAGGGCCAUCGCUCAACGGAUAAAAGCUACCCCGGGGAUAACAGGCUUAUCUCCCCCAAGAGUUCACAUCGACGGGGAGGUUUGGCACCUCGAUGUCGGCUCAUCGCAUCCUGGGGCUGUAGUCGGUCCCAAGGGUUGGGCUGUUCGCCCAUUAAAGCGGUACGCGAGCUGGGUUCAGAACGUCGUGAGACAGUUCGGUCCCUAUCCGUCGUGGGCGUAGGAAAUUUGAGAGGAGCUGUCCUUAGUACGAGAGGACCGGGAUGGACAUACCUCUGGUGUACCAGUUGUCGUGCCAACGGCAUAGCUGGGUAGCUAUGUGUGGACGGGAUAAGUGCUGAAAGCAUCUAAGCAUGAAGCCCCCCUCAAGAUGAGAUUUCCCAACUUCGGUUAUAAGAUCCCUCAAAGAUGAUGAGGUUAAUAGGUUCGAGGUGGAAGCAUGGUGACAUGUGGAGCUGACGAAUACUAAUCGAUCGAAGACUUAAUCAA